GGGGAAUAUUGGACAAUGGGCGAAAGCCUGAUCCAGCCAUGCCGCGUGUGUGAAGAAGGUCUUCGGAUUGUAAAGCACUUUAAGUUGGGAGGAAGGGCUGCAAGUUAAUACCUUGUAGUUUUGACGUUACCAGCAGAAUAAGCACCGGCUAACUUCGUGCCAGCAGCCGCGGUAAUACGAAGGGUGCAAGCGUUAAUCGGAAUUACUGGGCGUAAAGCGCGCGUAGGCGGUCUGUCAAGUCGGAUGUGAAAUCCCCGGGCUCAACCUGGGAACUGCAUUCGAAACUGGCAGGCUUGAGUCUCGUAGAGGGGGGUAGAAUUCCAGGUGUAGCGGUGAAAUGCGUAGAGAUCUGGAGGAAUACCGGUGGCGAAGGCGGCCCCCUGGACGAAGACUGACGCUCAGGUGCGAAAGCGUGGGGAGCAAACA
RNAcentral lists this ribosomal RNA (426 nucleotides) under uncultured Enterobacteriaceae bacterium. RNAcentral's name for it is "bacterial SSU rRNA". It matches the Rfam family "Bacterial small subunit ribosomal RNA", at positions 356 to 774 of the family's 1533-position model. Lineage: Bacteria; Pseudomonadati; Pseudomonadota; Gammaproteobacteria; Enterobacterales; Enterobacteriaceae. The record is from RNAcentral.